Molecule: RNA transcript, 2601 nt
Organism: Cornus florida
Lineage: Eukaryota; Viridiplantae; Streptophyta; Magnoliopsida; Cornales; Cornaceae
Gene name: nucleolar GTP-binding protein 1-like
Exons: 3
Source: RefSeq, a predicted model, not a curated record
CCCUAAUUUCACUUCCUGCUUAACCUCAUUUGUUUGCAGUUGAAAACUUGAAGGAGGCGACACAGUGCGCCGCUUCCAGAUCUUCGAAACCGAGUCACUGACUCGGCCGCUGCUGAGUCGUUUAGUUUGAGGCCACUGAAUAAUAUUCAACAGAGUAAAACAUAAACUUAAAAAGUAUGGUGCAGUACAACUUUAAGAGAAUCACAAUUGUCCCCACUGGGAAGGACUUUGUUGAUAUCAUCCUUUCUCGCACACAACGUCAAACACCGACCGUUGUUCACAAAGGUUAUGCUAUUACUCGCAUCCGUGAGUUUUACAUGCGGAAAGUGAAGUACACACAGCAGAACUUUCACGACAAGCUUUCUACCAUCAUUGAGGAGUUCCCUCGGCUUGAUGAUAUCCAUCCUUUCUAUGGUGAUCUUCUUCAUGUUCUCUACAACAAAGACCAUUACAAGCUUGCCCUUGGCCAAAUUAAUACUGCAAGGAAUCUCAUUGGUAAGAUUGCAAAGGACUAUUUGAAAUUGUUAAAAUAUGGUGACUCACUUUACCGAUGCAAGGCUCUGAAAGUUGCUGCUCUUGGCCGCAUGUGUACUGUGACAAAGCGCAUUGGCCCUAGUUUGGCUUAUCUUGAAGAGAUCAGGAAACACAUGGCUAGGCUACCAUCAAUUGACCCAAAUACCCGGACGGUCUUGAUUUGUGGGUACCCAAAUGUAGGCAAGAGCUCAUUCAUUAACAAAAUCACCAGGGCAGAUGUGGAUGUUCAGCCAUAUGCUUUCACUACAAAGUCACUGUUUGUUGGUCAUACAGACUAUAAAUACCUUAGGUAUCAAGUGAUUGAUACACCAGGGAUUUUGGAUAGGCCAUUUGAAGAUCGUAAUAUCAUUGAGAUGUGCAGUAUCACAGCUCUAGCACAUCUAAGAGCUGCUGUGUUGUUCUUCUUGGACAUUUCUGGUUCAUGUGGGUACAGCAUUGCUCAACAGGCAGCUCUUUUUCACAGCAUCAAGUCUCUAUUUAUGAACAAACCGCUGAUUAUCGUCUGCAACAAAAUUGAUAUGCAGCCUUUGGAUGGGAUAUCCGAGGAAGACAAGAAGUUGGUCAUGGAAAUGAAAGCUGAAGCUAUGAAGACUGUGAUAGGUCAAGGAGGGGAACCUACAGGUGAUGAAGGAGUGCUCUUGACAAUGAGCACUUUGACCGAGGAGGGGGUAAUUGCCGUGAAAAAUGCAGCUUGUGAGAGGUUACUAAAUCAGAGGGUGGAACUAAAAAUGAAGUCUAAAAAGAUAAAUGACUGUCUGAAUCGCUUUCAUGUUGCAAUGCCAAAGCCACGUGACCAGAAAGAAAGGCCACCAUGUAUUCCCCAGGCAGUCUUGGAAGCUAAAGCUAGGGAAGCAGAGAAAGAGAAGAGGAAGCUCGAAAGGGAUUUGGAGGAUGAGAAUGGUGGUGCAGGUGUAUACUCCGCUAGUUUGAGGAAGCAUUAUAUCUUAUUACACGAUGAAUGGAAGGAAGAUGUAAUGCCAGAAAUUCUUGAUGGGCACAAUGUCUAUGACUUUGUUGAUCCUGAUAUUGUACAAAGGCUUGAGGAGUUGGAGCAAGAAGAAGGUUAUCGGCAGGAGCAGGAGGGAGAUGAUGAUUUUGAGAUGGAUGAUAAGGAAUUGACCCUCGAAGAGCAAGAAACACUGAAUGAGAUCCGGAAAAAGAAGAGCUUGCUUAUUCAACAACAUAGGAUCAAGAAAAGCACUGCGGAAAGUCGGCCAACUGUACCAAGAAAAUUUGACAAAGAGAGGAAGUUCACAUCAGAGAGAAUGGGAAGACAAUUAUCAAAUUUGGGGCUUGAUCCGACUUUGGCAAUCAACCGAGCUCGUAGCAAGUCAAGGGGUCGUAAGAGGGAGAGAUCAGUUGACCGGGAAGCUAAUGGUCGCGGUGACACCAUGGAUGUUGAUGUUGGCCAUUCUAAUAAGAAAAUGCGGAUGAGGUCUAGAUCUGUUUCAAGGUCUAGGUCACAGCCACAAGAUAUGGUUGUCGCUAGAGCGAGUUUCAAAGACACUGCUCAAUUUGAUAAGGCUGUAAAACUGGCUAAGAACUCCAACAAGAAGAGGAACAAGGACGCUCGGCGGGGAGAGGCCGAUAGAGUCAUUCCUACUUUGAGACCAAAGCACUUGUUCUCUGGGAAGCGCACCCUUGGGAAAACCAGCAGACGCUAAUAAAGUUAUCAAGGUAUAUCUUACACUGUUCAUUCGACAAACACUUGCAGGAAAGCUUGAUAUUGCUGUUGAGAGAGCUUGCAUCGAAUAUUUUGUUCUUUGAAUUUUGUAGACGUGACCGGAGAUUGUGACCAGACAUCAGAUGAGCCUCCUGUUAAGUUUCUGUCCAUGCAAUUUGAUACUAAGACCUCCUAAUGUUACAAUUUCAGUACGUUUGGUAUUCCAAGUUGUAGCAUAUUAUCUUUUGCUUAUUUUCGUUUUUGUUUUAAAAUUUGUGUUUGUGGAGAGCAAAUGUUUUUGGUUAUGCUUACCAUGCUUUUCGAAGUGAAAUGAAUUUUUUUGACAAAUCUUUCAAUUUACUGUCAAUAAGGACAGUUCAAUUCAUGCUCUAGGGUUCUCUUUA